UCUAAAGCCAUAUGUAGCUAUUGUUAAAAUGCAUGAUAUAUUACUCCAGCUUUCACUUUUUAUCCAUUUCGCUAGAAAAACGUGGCUGAUAAACUGAAAUCGAUUAACUGCAGAUUGUUAAAAAAUAUGUGAUUAACAUAGAAUUGUGAGACAGUAAAUAAAAAUAGGAAUAAUAACGGAAAACAUGAAAAGUCAGUUGUGCUCAGCCAAAUGAGCAAUAACAUUAAAAAUGUUGCAAAUAAUCGCAAUAUUAAAAAAAAAAAAAAAAAAGUUUGGUAUAAGGUUGUUUUUAAUGCAUUGACGAAACAAUGGUUGAGUAUUAAUUUAAAGCGUAAAAUAAAGCAGAACUAUAUUAAAUAUUAUCCUGUGGUACAGACAAGAUAUGCUUUUGUUAUUUGAAAUGUGUUGUGUGUCUUCUGUGUGUGUGUCACACAUAAUUUGCAUAUGUCAGCAUGUGGAAUGUGAAUACAUAUGUAAUAAUUUAAGUGUUGAAGAUGGGUUAGAUGUUUAGGAGGAGUGUCAAUUCAUGAAGAGCUAGUUGUGAAAUAAUUUUGAUAGAGAGGUAGCUGAAUUUGCACAAAUUGUUGUUGAAUUGGUUGCAUCAGUAUUUUUAACGUUGAUGCCAUAUAUCUGAAGAACAAAAGUGCAGCAGCAGCAAGCUUGCAAUACGGAGGAAGGAUGUUCAAAUUACAGUUUCAAGGCCUGGAUUAGGCUGAUUCAAUUUUUAUUCAGCUUAAUUCUUAUUGGUUCCUUAAAUUUCAAUUUGCAGAUUUUAAUAUUAUGAUUGCCUGAAGAGUUAUUAAGUCCCUGCAUCAUUUGCGUUACAUAAAAAUUGUGUGAGAGAGAUUAAUUUUGAAAUCGUAUGAAAGUGAAUAAUUUUGAAAUAGUUUAGAGAGGUUUAAUAUAAGCAGCUAUUAUUUUUAGGAGACAGAAAGGGGAAACGACCAAAUUAAAAACGAGUUAAAGUUAAAAUUUUUUGCAUGUGCAUAUAUUUGUAAAGAUCUAGAUAAGCUGUUAGUACAAACAAAAUUUUUAGUGUUCAUAAUAUAUGUGAUGUUAAAUUUAAUAUAUAUUCCUUAACAAUUCCCUUAACAGUGGCCCUGAUUUAAAGAUAAUUUUUCUUUAUUCGUCAGCAGUCACUAAAUUUCUAUGUGAUAUUAUUUCAGGCUUGAGUGCAUUUCGAAUUACCAAAGAAUCAUUGAAUUGUGUAAUGAAAUAUAAAACUAUGAGAAAUACUCAUAUCUGAAUCUUUUUCUCUUAAACUUUCAAAUAUAAUGCUUUCUGAUUUAAAGGUCUGCGCAUGUAUAAACGUCCUAUAAGCAGAAAAUUGAUAUUGGAAAACAGUAAUAAUUACUUAGCUAUCCUUUUUCUAGCAAGGCUAGAAAUUUUUUGAUACAGCACUUUUAAAACUGAAAAUGCACACUAAAAUCUUGUGUGCAUUAUCCUUAUUUCCCCUUACAAGUUCUGAUGUUACUGGUUUAUUUUGGUUUAGUUGAUUGUGGUGACGCACACUAGGGGUAUUUCCCAAAGAGUAGGGAUGCCUUCGUGAAGGACUUUCUAAGUUGAUGUUGCUGAAUAUGGCAGCAUCUAUGAUUUCUUAGUUGUUGAAAUUUUUUUAUCUUAAUAUAUGUUUGUAUGAUUUAAGAUUUUUUUUAAAAAUCUUUUCUGUUAGAUGACUGGAAACGUGGAUUCUGUAUUAGGCAAAGUUAUUGAUUCAAUAUUUCUUUAGCAGGUCUGCAUUGAGAUGGAACAGGCUGUGCAGGAGUUUAAAGAUUUAGAUAUUUUACGUCAAAUAACUGUGAUUUUGAUUUAACCACGGUCAUUAUACCAAGUUAUCAGAAGUUGACUGUACUUCAUGAAGUGAUGAUCUGUGUUCAAGACAUUUUAGCACUACUAAAAGGAAGUUAAGAAGAAAUUGUGAUUGAAUUCUGGGAAAUACUGUAUAUUAACAAACUCAAAUAAUAUGUAAUAGGGAGUGCAGGACUUCUACUCUACUGACACAAAUAGACUGUCUCAUCCAGGAAGUUCCUAAAGAAAUUGGUCUUAACAUUAUGGAUGAGUUAGCACAGACUGAACCAGUUCUUAGUGAUGAUGUUGCAUCAUCAUCAGCAACAACUGAUAGGUGAGCUCAUGAAGAUGCACUUACUAGCAGAUUGAAAAACUUUGUUAUUUACUUUUUAUAUUUUAACAUCUUGUUCAUGAAUAUUUUUUAAAAUUAUAAUUGUUCCUCUCUUUAGCUAAAUACAUGAAGUGUUUUCGAUUUUCGUUAACUAAUUUAGAAUUUCCCUUACCUCUGUGGUUUAAGAUUUAGGUAAUUUAUCAAAACCUUGAAACAACUUUGAAAACCUUGAAACUUUCAAACCUUGAAAUUCCAUCAUACAUUAUUUUUCUAUCCUUAAGCUUGUAAUUGAGGAGGUAUCUGGUUUAGUAGCAACUAAACUAAUCUCUUCACAUGUUGCUCAUACUUAAGUUAGAUAAUACAAUUAACUUAAUUCAGUUUCAGCAAGGAGCCUUAUGGCAAUAUUAACCACACUCUCUUAGGCUGUAUUACUCUGCAUAACAAUUUAAACAAAUUCGCAUCACAUAUUCUAACAACACUGCAUUUAGGUUUAACAUCUAACUUGGCAUAUUAAAUUCUGAACUGAGAUCUUAAAGACUUAAUGGAUUUCAAGAAGCAUCUGGAAUGCAGACAUUCUGAAAUAUAGCUGUUUUUCUCAAUGCCAUAUGCCAACAGUUUUACUGAAAUUGUGCCAUGACCAUAUUCUUUUAUUGUUGAACUGUUUUCAAACUCAAACUUUUAUUUAACAUUCAUACUAUCUUCAACCAAUAAUUUUCUGGCCUCACUAUGGCCAAGUGGUUAAGAGUGCUGAACACUGAUAGUUUGACCUGAUUUGGUUUUGAUCCCAGGUAAGAAGGCUGGUUGUGUGGUUGGUUUUCUUCAUGUGUAACAUGAUUAUGAGCCAGUUUUUCUUAAGUGCCUCUGCAAAGGCAUUCCGCUUCUUAGGAGAUAGCCCUUGUGAUCCAUAUUCAAGUUCGUCUAACCUAACCAAUACUUUAUGUUAGUAAUGUAUUUAGUGAUGUUGGCUGCUGUAUUGUUGUGCCAAUGUUUGAAUCCCAGAGAAGGCUGGAUGUUUUUGUCAAUGUGGCAUGGAAGCGCUUAAAAUUCUGGUGAGCCAAAAGCAGUUCUGAAGUAGAGAAAAAGGGGGAAGACCUUCAGAUCUCUCCUCCAGUGUGAUUUCCCUUGGAAUUGAGGCUGAGCUAUGUAGGUAGUGUGAUGGGACUACACCUAUAUAGCUAGUGGUAAUUCUUGUGUCUUGCUUCUUCUACUUGUACCUUUUAGCAAUAUGUUGUAUACCUCCAGUAUCUCUAACUCACGUAUCAUAACUUUCUGAAGGUCAAGCACUUAAAAAUGUAUCUCUCCUUUCAUUGUCAUGCUCAUCAUUAGUUUAAUGUUUCUAAAAUUUACAAUCCUGUGUCAAGUGUCCUCUUUUUCCACUCUGAAAAAAUUUCUAUUAUGCCUCAUGUCUGUUUGGACUUCUGCCUCAUUUUGAUUUACAUCUUCUUCCUGAAUUAAAAAUAUGACAUUUUCCAAGAUUAGCUUUGGUUAUAAGCUCAAGUUAAUUUUCUGUGGAGGAUUGUGAGGGUCUUCUCUGCUGUUCGAAGCUAAACCUUCCUUUAGUUCUGUCAGUGUAUGCUUCGCUUCUGGUUGUACACAUCAAGCCAUUUUUAAUGGUUCAGAAUCACUGGAUAGUGUUUCUAAAAGUUUGGUCAUAAUAAAUUACUCGGUUUAAUGGCUGAAUCAUGCAUCUGUAGUAUAAGAUGCUCUAAUUUUGCUAUGUGUAUGGCCAUUGUAUCUGUUGGAUCACGUAUGAACAAUAAGAACUGCAAUUAACAUGUAUAUUGUGCUUGCACGUUUUGCUGUUCAAACAACUUGCAUAGUUUCAACCAUAUUUCUCAAGCCAUUCUACUUAUGAUUAAAAAUUCUCAUGCUUUUUACUCUGUGAUUAUAAAAAUAUGUUUAUCAUGUUUCCCUAUGUAUAAAAUAUAAAUUGAAAGAAGUGUAAAACUUUUGGGUACCAAAAGAUGUGAUGACACUUGUAAUUUUAUAGCAACAGAAAAGUAGUUCAAAUGUGUGGUUGUUGCAGUAGCAUUUUUUUAUUCAUUCUUGAAACAUUAGUACUUUCUUGUUAUUUACUAUUAAACUGUUUUUUCUUGUUCAAGCGUUACAUGAGGGGCUUAUCCAAAUGAUUACUCCAGCUUUGCAGAAAUGUAUUUCUACAACUUUUUUUUUGUAGUCUGUACACUUAGCUUUUGUUUCAUAUAUACUGUGAUUGCUUGGUUUGGGCAUAUUUUAUUAUGCUGCAUACAUAAAUUUUCCAUAGCUAGUAAACUGAUCUUUCAUAGCAAACAGGAAUUCUAAAGUUAUCAGUUAUUUGAAACAAAAUGUAUUAUGCAAAGCAUAUGUUGAAUUAUAUUCUGCUAGUGAAGAUGGAAUUUUUUUGCAUUUUAAGUAUUUAACUUGAUUGUUUCAUAUAGCAUCUGAAGUAAUCUUCUUUUCAUGGAUUAUAUUUAAUAUAUUUUCAUAUAUCAUCUGGUGUAUGUCUUAUUUUCAUGGAUUAUAUUUAAUAAAACUUUUUUUAUGAGCUGUAUCAAUCAGCUGCUGCAUAGCUUACAUUAAAAUUUUAGAAAGAAUAAGUUGUACCAAAUUAAAAACCUUGCAAUUAGCAUCAUGUAUAUGUUGCAUAAUUAAAUGUCUUUCAUCUAUACUGUUUGCAUGCACUAGUUGAAAUGUCUGUUGUUCUGUUAAUGUUAAUAACUUUUAACUUCUAGUACCAGUGCAUUAUGAACAUAUCUGGUGUAGAAUACACAUACUUUAAUAUGUGUGUUCUAAAUGGGACUGUCAUAACUUCACGAAAUAUAUACGAUUCACUGUUUAUAUUUGUAAGACGAGGCAUAUGUCAUUUUUCCUGUUGCUGCAAUUCAGCAAACUAGUAUAUUUUGACUAAACAAGACAGUUUCAACAUUUUCCUGAAAUUGCACUGCAAAAUGAGUUAUUGUUUAAGAUUAAAAGAAGGGAAGAAGAUGCUAUUAUCAAAAUAGAAGAAGAAGGGAGAUGCUAUUAUCAAAGAUAUAAUAUGUAGAGUAUGUAGCUUUAUAUUGCUAGUUUUGGAAAUAUGAAAAAAUCUUUCAUCCAUUUCUUCAUAUUGCAUGAAUGGAAUUUUUACUCUCAUGUAAUCACUUUACAUAGUUCCCUUUAUGAUUCACAUUUUCAGGCCUCGCAUUCAAACAUGUCAUUCAAAUAAUUUGUGCAUCUGUUAUUCAGUUUUAUAUGCUGAAGUUGAGAAAAUUAAACAUUUUAAGAUUUUCUUAUGCCAUAAUUUAUAAUAUUGCUUUGUUUUUGGUUUUGCAUACCUAAGACAUGUGAUGAAUUGUGCUGUACAUUUUUAAAUGAUAAAAGUAGAGGCUAACCAGCUUUUAUUUGUUUUCACUCAUUUUGUUUGUUGAACCUGCAUAGAUUAAAUACACAUGUACAUAGAAAGUUCAGUAUAUGUGCAUUAAAGUUUAUUGCGGUUUAGGUUGGUGUAAAAAAUUUGCUACAGCAAGAUUAUCAGAUUAAAGCUGCAAAGUAUUUAAAACUUCGAAAAAUACCUUUAUUAAAAUUGUUUUUAAAAUAUGGUAUGAAACCUGAGAAUUGCUUCCAGCAUGAGGUAUUUAAUUAAUUAUUAUUAUUUUUUUUUUUGUGGGGGGAGGUCUAUUUAGGCUUGUUUGCUUUGAAGAAUUAGGUCAUGCACUUCAGAAAUUACUUUUUGGAAACAAAUAUCAAUGUCUUUAUCCAGAACUUGUUCUUUAUAUAAUUUGUCUUAAUGUCUCAGAAAUUUUGAAAGAACUCUUACCUUUAUUGACUUGCACCGUCUAAAUUUGCUACUUUUAAAAAUAAAAAUUUCUUCUUAAUUUACUUUUUGCAAAAUACAUUUGCUAAUCAUUUAAAUUAUUCAGAUCAUAUAAUAAGUUGUUAUAGUGCAAGUCUGCAUGUAUUUAUCAUCUUUCUUUCAUAAAUAGUAAACUGAAUUUUACCGAAGUGCAUCAUCUUUAUUAAUUUGAGUUACUUUCAAAUUAUGCUGUGUAGAAUGUUUUUAAAAAUAAAUUAUUUCUAGUAAAAAAUUUCAGUUGAAAUGUAUAAAUUAAAAUAAACUUAAAAUUGUGUAUGUUAUGUAUAUUACUGAAAAUCAAAAUGCAUUUUUCUGUAAAAUUGUAAUUUGUAAUAUUUAAAAUUAUAUGUCAAAGCAUUAAAAAUGUUUUAUUUUGUUCUACAUGAGGUGAUAAUAAAAGAAAUUCAAACUCUUUCUUCGUAAUUGUUGAUUUCUAGUUGUGUAAGCAAUUUUAUUGAUUAAAAAAUUUCAAAUUGUUAUUUCCAUUUGGUGUAUGAUGUUUCUAAUAUUAUAAUGAGAAACUAAUUGUGAGAUAGUUCAUGCAUGAUUUCCAUGAGCCUUUGUGUUCCUUUGUGGUCUUAUUUUUCGCUCUUUUGUGAUAAUAAAUAUUCAUAUCAAAUGUAGUUAUUUA
Stegodyphus dumicola is the source of this 6561-nucleotide long non-coding RNA. RefSeq lists it as uncharacterized. The record is from RefSeq and is a predicted model, not a curated record. NCBI's taxonomy places the organism in Eukaryota, Metazoa, Arthropoda, Arachnida, Araneae, Eresidae.